GUCGUAACAAGGUUCCCGUAGGUGAACCUGCGGAAGGAUCAUUACCUAGAGUUUGUAGACUUCGGUCUGCUACCUCUUACCCAUGUCUUUUGAGUACCUUCGUUUCCUCGGCGGGUCCGCCCGCCGAUUGGACAACAUUCAAACCCUUUGCAGUUGCAAUCAGCGUCUGAAAAAACAUAAUAGUUACAACUUUCAACAACGGAUCUCUUGGUUCUGGCAUCGAUGAAGAACGCAGCGAAAUGCGAUAAGUAGUGUGAAUUGCAGAAUUCAGUGAAUCAUCGAAUCUUUGAACGCACAUUGCGCCCCUUGGUAUUCCAUGGGGCAUGCCUGUUCGAGCGUCAUUUGUACCUUCAAGCUCUGCUUGGUGUUGGGUGUUUGUCUCGCCUCUGCGUGUAGACUCGCCUUAAAACAAUUGGCAGCCGGCGUAUUGAUUUCGGAGCGCAGUACAUCUCGCGCUUUGCACUCAUAACGACGACGUCCAAAAGUACAUUUUUACACUCUUGACCUCGGAUCAGGUAGGGAUACCCGCUGAACUUAAGCA
This 541-nucleotide ribosomal RNA is filed under the name uncultured fungus. Its description in RNAcentral is "eukaryotic LSU rRNA". The stretch from base 188 to 341 matches the Rfam family "5.8S ribosomal RNA". Lineage: Eukaryota; Fungi. The record is from RNAcentral.